UACGUAGGGUGCAAGCGUUGUCCGGAAUUAUUGGGCGUAAAGAGCUCGUAGGCGGUUUGUCGCGUCGGCUGUGAAAACUCGGGGCUCAACCCCGAGCCUGCAGUCGAUACGGGCAGACUAGAGUGUGGUAGGGGAGACUGGAAUUCCUGGUGUAGCGGUGAAAUGCGCAGAUAUCAGGAGGAACACCGAUGGCGAAGGCAGGUCUCUGGGCCACUACUGACGCUGAGAAGCGAAAGCAUGGGGAGCGAACAGG
This 253-nucleotide ribosomal RNA is filed under the name uncultured bacterium. Its description in RNAcentral is "partial 16S ribosomal RNA". It matches the Rfam family "Bacterial small subunit ribosomal RNA", at positions 524 to 776 of the family's 1533-position model. The record is from RNAcentral.